GCCCGGAUGGUGAAAUAGGUAGACACAAGAGACUUAAAAUCUCUCGAUCGAAAGGUCGUACCGGUUCGAUUCCGGUUCCGGGCACCA
This 87-nucleotide transfer RNA is filed under the name Propionivibrio sp. RNAcentral's name for it is "tRNA-Leu". It matches the Rfam family "tRNA". From Rfam's summary of the family: Transfer RNA (tRNA) molecules are approximately 80 nucleotides in length. The record is from RNAcentral. Lineage: Bacteria; Pseudomonadati; Pseudomonadota; Betaproteobacteria; Rhodocyclales; Rhodocyclaceae.